Lagopus muta (rock ptarmigan) is the source of this 1773-nucleotide long non-coding RNA. RefSeq lists it as uncharacterized. Lineage: Eukaryota; Metazoa; Chordata; Aves; Galliformes; Phasianidae. The transcript has 3 exons. The record is from RefSeq and is a predicted model, not a curated record.
GAGAGCUCCUUCUAUACCUUGGCUAUUUCCUAAGAAGAAAUGCUAUAUUGCUAGAGACUGUUCACCAGCUGAGUGAAUUCAGUUUUUCUUUCUGGAUGUGGCUAUUAGCCUCCCUGUGAAUACUUCACCUGGUGUUGCCAUGAGCCUCGUGGAAGUGAUUCUAUAUCUUUUAAUACUGACAUCUCAGGAAGAGAAACAGUCAAGUGUUAGAUACCUAUCAUUGGACCAACACUGUAAACCAAAUGGCUAAUUGGGCAAAGAGAAGAUCUGAACCCUCUAUUGAAAUUGAAUGACUUUCAAUACCUGCUUCUGGGUUAGGGCACUUGAGCCUGAAGCUAAAGAGUGAACAGUGAGUUCUGAUGUUUUCUGAGGUUUGGUCCUGGCAAUGCUGAUGCCUUGAUGCGUGUUUUCUUCUCUUCACUACGCAGAGAUUAGAGAUGAGUGAGGAAACAGGACUGAACAUGCUGCAUGCAGCUGGUGAACAGAUAUGCUGACCAUACUGUGUCAUAAUGCUAAUACAAAAUGUUUCUGUUCUAAUAAUGUGCUCUUAUGACUGGUGAACAUAAGCUUCUUCAGUCUCGGACCACAGCUGAUAGAGUCCUGAAGGGAAAAACCUUGGGGGUUGUCGUCUUACUACAUUCCAGAGCAGCAGUAGCCUAUUUACCUUUUCCUUGUGCAUAGGGCCUGUACUGGGUUUAUAUGCCCAGAGUUUGGCAGCAGGGGUUCUGCAGGAAUGGCCUUUGUGAACAUAACCUGGAAACUACCCCAUGUCAAAUAAAAGCUGAUUCUAGCUGGUUCCAAAAGGGAUUCAAUCCACUGCUGGCCAGAGCUCAGCCGUGAGCAGCACUGGUUUUGUGUCUGUGACCACUAACCUACUUUAUUGUUAAUUGGCAAUAAGUUACAUUAAUCUUUUCAAAAUGGAAUCUGUUUUGCUUAUGAGAAUUAUGGGUGAGUGAUAUCCCUGUCCUUAUCUUGAACUAUGAGCUUUUUCAUCUUUUCUCCUGUUGUCCUACUGAAGUGGAGAAGAAAGCAGCUUGGUGGGCUCUAUGCACACAGUCAAAUUUAAUCCCCCACAUGGCUUUUACACAACACUGUGCAAAAAUGGCCUGAGAUUUUAAAGGGUCUCCAUGGUAUCGCUUGUUUUUGGAAGGUAUUUGUAUAUAGCCUAAAUGGAGGUUGAGUUCAAGCUGCCUGUAAUGAAAAGAAUUACAUCCCCUCUAAAACUUGCACUUUACGUGUGUUCAAACAAUCAACACUGUCUAUAACAUUGGAAGAUUUGUCUUCCUCAAGCUUCUUUUUGUAAGCACUUUUAUCUUUCAGAAUAGGCAUUGUAUCAGUUUCUCAAUAUCAAAACAAAAAUAUUAUUUUCUUUGUUUUUCAUUCACCUUUUCUGCCUGGUUUGUAAACUCUUUCAGAUUUGUGUCUCCUAAUGUGGAUGUACAGCAUGUCGCACAAGAUUUAUUAAUGCCAAAAUAAAUGUUUGUUUUUUUCUUAGCAACUCUUCAUUUAAAGGUAAAAUCACAUUGACAAGGAUUGAUUACAAAUAGUAAUAAAAAUGUAAAUGUUGAAGAGGAUGAAGUUGAUGCAGCAAAGUUUUAAAUAAUAGCUCUGGUACUGCUGAAGAACUUGGUUUCCUAAUAGUAAUUUAACUUCCUUUCCUAUUUUAACUGCUUGUUUUCCUAGUUUAACUGUUCUGCUGUUUUUGUACCUUCUAACUCAGUCCCUUAGGGAUGUAAGUGCAACAAAGUCGGUGAAACUCUAUUUCUUCAGAAG